UUGUGUAUAUGCUGUAUAAUAAGCUUAUAAUAGCAUGAUAUAGUACCAUAGGUGAAUGCAAAUGAGAUUAAAUAUAUUAUAAAAACGAUAAAUAAAUGAGUAAAUGCUCUAAUAUGCUUUAGCGCUUUAAUAUUGAGGAAGUUGCUAUUUGUGACUAUACUUCCGCGACGUCACGAUGAAAAUGCUAAUGCGUCUAAAGUUAAUUGCAGUUUUAGAGCAAAAUUGUACUUCAUGAAUGCAAUCUGGCUCCUAUGCAGUUUUAAACUGACGAUUCAGGCUUCAAAGAAGAAGAUAUAUUCAUGUUGCGAGCUACCGUAAUUUGGAUGUUUGUCUGCGUGGCUAAUCUAGAUUUCAUCACAAAAAACGGAAUCAAGUAUGAACUGUUCAAUGAACAAUUCAAACAUCUUUGUUGAAACUUUCGCGGAUGCACUCAAAGGGGCAUUUUACGUGGACAUAGUUGUUACAAUUAUUUUGCUGUACAUAACGUUCUGUCAAAUCUACGUUCUUGUUUCGAAGAGAUUGUUCAAACUUCGACUUGAUAAGUGUACUGAUCUUUUGUUGGCGUCGAAUCUUCGGUCUGUAAUGAAUUUGACACUUGUUUUCACCGGUAUUCUUGCUUUAGCUAAGAUGGUGUUGCAGUUAAUAUUUUAUCUAAAUUUGAAAAGUACGAUCUUCGUAUCUGAAGUGCUUUUAGCACAGUGGGCGUAUACGUCGGAGUAUCUCAUACUCUGGUUCCGCCAGGCAAUGUUUCACAGCAAACCAUCACUGAAACACCUCUCGUCGAAAGCGUUGCAUAAUUCCAGUCGGUUCCAAGGAUUUUACAUGUUAUUCAUCAAUUUGUUCGGGAAAAUUGUGAUUGGAUAGGAAGGCAUUCGGAAUAAUAUACUUAGAUUCGCUUUCUUUCCAAAGUGGAUGACAAUUUGUUUCUUUCUUUAUCAAACUGAAACCCAAAUUUCCACUCUUGCAUUGUUUAUAAUUCCGUUAUUUCGCCACAGAAAAA
Long non-coding RNA from Styela clava, 1000 nucleotides. RefSeq lists it as uncharacterized. NCBI's taxonomy places the organism in Eukaryota, Metazoa, Chordata, Ascidiacea, Stolidobranchia, Styelidae. The record is from RefSeq and is a predicted model, not a curated record.